RNAcentral lists this ribosomal RNA (774 nucleotides) under Calamoecia clitellata. Its description in RNAcentral is "eukaryotic LSU rRNA". It matches the Rfam family "Eukaryotic large subunit ribosomal RNA", at positions 74 to 750 of the family's 3401-position model. Lineage: Eukaryota; Metazoa; Arthropoda; Copepoda; Calanoida; Centropagidae. The record is from RNAcentral.
AUUCCCUUAGUAAUGGCGAAUGAAACGGGAAGAGCCCAUCGUCGAAUCGCAAGUCGUCUAGGCUUUGCGAAAUGUGACGUUUGGGAGGGUCUUCCACGGCUCGGACGAUCAGUCAAAGUCCAACUUGACAGUGGCCACAGCCCAUAGAGGGUGAUAGGCCCGUAAGGCGAUUGUCCGGCUGUGCUGACCUCUCUCUAGAGUCGGAUUGCUUGGGAGUGCAGUCCAAAGUGCGAGGUAAACUCCUCGUAAGGCUAAAUAUAACCCCGAGACCGAUAGCAAACAAGUACAGUGAUGGAAAAUUGAAAAGAACUUUGAAGAGAGAGUUAAGAGUACGUGAAACUGUGUGGUGGUAAACGGAGGCGUUCUCGAAGUGUCCGUGGGGGACUCAAGCUUGGUGACGGGCUGCUGGAGCGCUCUGAUCAGCAAUGACGGAGUGCACUAUGAGGGCCUGUCUCCCGGCCGCACUUUCCCCGCGGUUUACGGCAAGAACCGUUGGGACCGGACCAAAGGCCUGGGAAGAAGUUGCCGGCCCCUCGGGGCUUGCAGCUCCUGGUGUCCUGGCUCCGGGCCCGACGGGAUUCGAGUGGACUUGUAUAGCAAGCGACAGCCUGUUGCGGUUCACGUCUCUUUGCCGAGUAGGUCGGUGGCGCCUCCGACCCGUCUUGAAACACGGACCAAGGAGUCUAACAUGUAUGCGAGCCAUUGGGUUAACUAAACCUAGCGGCGCAGUGAAAGCAAAGAGUANCUUGCUGCUCGAGGGACGAUGUGCAAACC